UGUACCCUCAAGCACCGCUUGGUGUUGGGCGCUUGUCCCUGCCCCCGGCAGGGACUCGCCCCGAAUCCAUUGGCAGCCACCGCACCGGGCCAACGAGCGCAGCAGAAUUCGCGCCUCGGGCAAGGAGCGUGGGCGACCCACUGAGCACCCCAUCCA
Molecule: unclassified non-coding RNA, 156 nt
Filed under: Tetraploa aristata
Lineage: Eukaryota; Fungi; Ascomycota; Dothideomycetes; Pleosporales; Tetraplosphaeriaceae
Description: sequence contains ITS2
Source: RNAcentral